Molecule: non-coding RNA, 29 nt
Filed under: Mus musculus (house mouse)
Lineage: Eukaryota; Metazoa; Chordata; Mammalia; Rodentia; Muridae
Source: RNAcentral
UUGAAAGAACCCAUAGAACCAUCAAAGAG